RNAcentral lists this ribosomal RNA (2925 nucleotides) under Escherichia coli. Its description in RNAcentral is "bacterial LSU rRNA". It matches the Rfam family "Bacterial large subunit ribosomal RNA". The record is from RNAcentral. Lineage: Bacteria; Pseudomonadati; Pseudomonadota; Gammaproteobacteria; Enterobacterales; Enterobacteriaceae.
GGGUUGUGAGGUUAAGCGACUAAGCGUACACGGUGGAUGCCCUGGCAGUCAGAGGCGAUGAAGGACGUGCUAAUCUGCGAUAAGCGUCGGUAAGGUGAUAUGAACCGUUAUAACCGGCGAUUUCCGAAUGGGGAAACCCAGUGUGAUUCGUCACACUAUCAUUAACUGAAUCCAUAGGUUAAUGAGGCGAACCGGGGGAACUGAAACAUCUAAGUACCCCGAGGAAAAGAAAUCAACCGAGAUUCCCCCAGUAGCGGCGAGCGAACGGGGAGGAGCCCAGAGCCUGAAUCAGUGUGUGUGUUAGUGGAAGCGUCUGGAAAGGCGCGCGAUACAGGGUGACAGCCCCGUACACAAAAAUGCACAUAUUGUGAGCUCGAUGAGUAGGGCGGGACACGUGGUAUCCUGUCUGAAUAUGGGGGGACCAUCCUCCAAGGCUAAAUACUCCUGACUGACCGAUAGUGAACCAGUACCGUGAGGGAAAGGCGAAAAGAACCCCGGCGAGGGGAGUGAAAAAGAACCUGAAACCGUGUACGUACAAGCAGUGGGAGCCUCUUAAUGGGGUGACUGCGUACCUUUUGUAUAAUGGGUCAGCGACUUAUAUUCUGUAGCAAGGUUAACCGAAUAGGGGAGCCGAAGGGAAACCGAGUCUUAACUGGGCGUUAAGUUGCAGGGUAUAGACCCGAAACCCGGUGAUCUAGCCAUGGGCAGGUUGAAGGUUGGGUAACACUAACUGGAGGACCGAACCGACUAAUGUUGAAAAAUUAGCGGAUGACUUGUGGCUGGGGGUGAAAGGCCAAUCAAACCGGGAGAUAGCUGGUUCUCCCCGAAAGCUAUUUAGGUAGCGCCUCGUGAAUUCAUCUCCGGGGGUAGAGCACUGUUUCGGCAAGGGGGUCAUCCCGACUUACCAACCCGAUGCAAACUGCGAAUACCGGAGAAUGUUAUCACGGGAGACACACGGCGGGUGCUAACGUCCGUCGUGAAGAGGGAAACAACCCAGACCGCCAGCUAAGGUCCCAAAGUCAUGGUUAAGUGGGAAACGAUGUGGGAAGGCCCAGACAGCCAGGAUGUUGGCUUAGAAGCAGCCAUCAUUUAAAGAAAGCGUAAUAGCUCACUGGUCGAGUCGGCCUGCGCGGAAGAUGUAACGGGGCUAAACCAUGCACCGAAGCUGCGGCAGCGACACUAUGUGUUGUUGGGUAGGGGAGCGUUCUGUAAGCCUGUGAAGGUGGCCUGUGAGGGUUGCUGGAGGUAUCAGAAGUGCGAAUGCUGACAUAAGUAACGAUAAAGCGGGUGAAAAGCCCGCUCGCCGGAAGACCAAGGGUUCCUGUCCAACGUUAAUCGGGGCAGGGUGAGUCGACCCCUAAGGCGAGGCCGAAAGGCGUAGUCGAUGGGAAACAGGUUAAUAUUCCUGUACUUGGUGUUACUGCGAAGGGGGGACGGAGAAGGCUAUGUUGGCCGGGCGACGGUUGUCCCGGUUUAAGCGUGUAGGCUGGUUUUCCAGGCAAAUCCGGAAAACCAAGGCUGAGGCGUGAUGACGAGGCACUACGGUGCUGAAGUAACAAAUGCCCUGCUUCCAGGAAAAGCCUCUAAGCAUCAGGUAACAUCAAAUCGUACCCCAAACCGACACAGGUGGUCAGGUAGAGAAUACCAAGGCGCUUGAGAGAACUCGGGUGAAGGAACUAGGCAAAAUGGUGCCGUAACUUCGGGAGAAGGCACGCUGAUAUGUAGGUGAAGCGACUUGCUCGUGGAGCUGAAAUCAGUCGAAGAUACCAGCUGGCUGCAACUGUUUAUUAAAAACACAGCACUGUGCAAACACGAAAGUGGACGUAUACGGUGUGACGCCUGCCCGGUGCCGGAAGGUUAAUUGAUGGGGUUAGCGGUAACGCGAAGCUCUUGAUCGAAGCCCCGGUAAACGGCGGCCGUAACUAUAACGGUCCUAAGGUAGCGAAAUUCCUUGUCGGGUAAGUUCCGACCUGCACGAAUGGCGUAAUGAUGGCCAGGCUGUCUCCACCCGAGACUCAGUGAAAUUGAACUCGCUGUGAAGAUGCAGUGUACCCGCGGCAAGACGGAAAGACCCCGUGAACCUUUACUAUAGCUUGACACUGAACAUUGAGCCUUGAUGUGUAGGAUAGGUGGGAGGCUUUGAAGUGUGGACGCCAGUCUGCAUGGAGCCGACCUUGAAAUACCACCCUUUAAUGUUUGAUGUUCUAACGUUGGCCCCUAAUCGGGGUUGCGGACAGUGUCUGGUGGGUAGUUUGACUGGGGCGGUCUCCUCCUAAAGAGUAACGGAGGAGCACGAAGGUUGGCUAAUCCUGGUCGGACAUCAGGAGGUUAGUGCAAUGGCAUAAGCCAGCUUGACUGCGAGCGUGACGGCGCGAGCAGGUGCGAAAGCAGGUCAUAGUGAUCCGGUGGUUCUGAAUGGAAGGGCCAUCGCUCAACGGAUAAAAGGUACUCCGGGGAUAACAGGCUGAUACCGCCCAAGAGUUCAUAUCGACGGCGGUGUUUGGCACCUCGAUGUCGGCUCAUCACAUCCUGGGGCUGAAGUAGGUCCCAAGGGUAUGGCUGUUCGCCAUUUAAAGUGGUACGCGAGCUGGGUUUAGAACGUCGUGAGACAGUUCGGUCCCUAUCUGCCGUGGGCGCUGGAGAACUGAGGGGGGCUGCUCCUAGUACGAGAGGACCGGAGUGGACGCAUCACUGGUGUUCGGGUUGUCAUGCCAAUGGCACUGCCCGGUAGCUAAAUGCGGAAGAGAUAAGUGCUGAAAGCAUCUAAGCACGAAACUUGCCCCGAGAUGAGUUCUCCCUGACUCCUUGAGGGUCCUGAAGGAACGUUGAAGACGACGACGUUGAUAGGCCGGGUGUGUAAGCGCAGCGAUGCGUUGAGCUAACCGGUACUAAUGAACCGUGAGGCUUAACCUUACAACGCCGAAG